RNAcentral lists this transfer RNA (71 nucleotides) under Marmota monax (woodchuck). Its description in RNAcentral is "tRNA.Ala". It matches the Rfam family "tRNA". Rfam says of the family: Transfer RNA (tRNA) molecules are approximately 80 nucleotides in length. Their secondary structure includes four short double-helical elements and three loops (D, anti-codon, and T loops). Further hydrogen bonds mediate the characteristic L-shaped molecular structure. tRNAs have two regions of fundamental functional importance: the anti-codon, which is responsible for specific mRNA codon recognition, and the 3' end, to which the tRNAs corresponding amino acid is attached (by aminoacyl-tRNA synthetases). tRNAs cope with the degeneracy of the genetic code in two manners: having more than one tRNA (with a specific anti-codon) for a particular amino acid; and 'wobble' base-pairing, i.e. permitting non-standard base-pairing at the 3rd anti-codon position. Lineage: Eukaryota; Metazoa; Chordata; Mammalia; Rodentia; Sciuridae. The record is from RNAcentral.
GGGGUUGUGGCUCAGAGGUAGAGUGCUCACCUAGCAUGCGUGAGGCACUGGGUUCAAUUCUCAGCACCACG